Non-coding RNA from Podarcis lilfordi (Lilford's wall lizard), 79 nucleotides. The record is from the annotation of a GenBank genome assembly. Lineage: Eukaryota; Metazoa; Chordata; Lepidosauria; Squamata; Lacertidae.
GCAACACAAUAGCUCAGUUGGCUACAGCGUGGUUCUGAUAACGCCAAGGCUGCAGGUUCGAUCCCUGUAUGGGGCAGCU